CAGCCGCCGCGGUAAUACCAGCUCUCCGAGUGGUGUGGACGUUUAUUGGGCCUAAAGCAUCCGUAGCUGGCUGAACAAGUCCCCUGUUAAACCCACCGAUUUAAUCGUUGGCGUGCGGGGGAUACUGCUUGGCUAGGGGACGAGAGAGGCAGACGGUAUUCCCGGGGUAGGGGUGAAAUCCUAUAAUCCCGAGAAGACCACCAGUGGCGAAGGCUGUCUGCUAAAACGCGCCCGACGGUGAGGGAUGAAAGCUGGGGGAGCGAACCGGAUUAGAUACCCGGGUAGUCCCAGCUGUAAACGAUGCAGACUAGGUGUUUGGACGGCCACGUGCCGUUCUAGUGCCGCAGGGAAGCUGUUAAGUCUGCCGCCUGGGGAGUACGAUCGCAAGGUUGAAACUUAAAGGAAUUGGCGGGGGAGCACA
This 421-nucleotide ribosomal RNA is filed under the name uncultured archaeon. RNAcentral describes it as "bacterial SSU rRNA". It matches the Rfam family "Archaeal small subunit ribosomal RNA", at positions 459 to 880 of the family's 1478-position model. The record is from RNAcentral.